Long non-coding RNA from Sus scrofa (pig), 1469 nucleotides. RefSeq lists it as uncharacterized. Lineage: Eukaryota; Metazoa; Chordata; Mammalia; Artiodactyla; Suidae. The record is from RefSeq and is a predicted model, not a curated record.
GCAGAGGUGUUGGUGCGGUGCUUUCCUACGGGGAUGCUGGUCUGAAGUGUGGGGUUUAAGGUCUCCGCCCGCUGCCCCCUGUGAGCCAGUGACAGCAGACUAAGCGCAAGGGAAAAAAAAGUGAAUGAAAAUAUGAAGUAACAUCAGAUAGAGCUAUUUUACAAGAAUUCAGUUUCUUCAUUGUGGCGACAUGAAGCAAGUUUGCCUACAAGCCCAUCCAUAAGUAAAAAUUCAGAACGAAGGAAGGUAUUAUGAUCAGAGGCUGUAUGCAGUAAUUGAAGACACUCCUGAUGAUCCCACACAAUCAGAGUGACACGUUACUUAGGAUGAAAAUUAAGAAGAAAAGCCGAUUUAUAGGUUGUUUUACUAUGGCCAAUGCUUCUGCAAAGAUGAACAAAUCUACCUCAAAAGAUUAAAAAAAAAAAAAAAAAGAACAAAACAAAACAAAAAACAACCAUUUCUAUGCUUUUCCAUGUAAGAGACUCACUAAAAUUUUGUAUAACCUUUGCUAUAACUUGCAGCACUUUGGGAUUUUAAGUUUUAAUGAAACUAUAGAAAAUAUCUUAAACUGAAUGAUUUCUAUUCAGAGCACUUGGAGUGCUGAUACCAUGAACAGUAUAGAUGGCUCCAGCCAUAACUGUCACACAGAUAAUAUUCUUUUAUGCCUCAAGACACUGAGAUGGUGCUGUAGAUAACCAAAAGAAAUAAGCUGCCACCAUCACUAAUCUGCAGUUUUGAAACAGUAUAGCUUUUGCAUGGUUAAGAGAAGGUAAAAUCACCUACCAGUGUAAUAGAGAAGACAUUUAAAAAGUGAACGGGACCUGGAUGAAUUAAAGCUUUCAUAUUUAUUUGUUAUCCAUAUGCACCGUGGAUCAAAUCGUCCAUAUUCAAUUUUAUGUGUUUAUGUAUGACAAUUGAAAAUACAAAAUGAGCUAGGGCCUUUCCAUUCCCCUAGGACAUUUUUGCUAAUGUAGUGAAAUGAAAAUCUAAGGAGUAUUUGGCCUCAAUGUUCCCUUCAGAGGUUAACUUUGGAGAAUCUUAAGUGUGUGUUCUUAUGGCUGGAUUUGUAAUGUGUGUAGCAGAUUAGAAUGUAAUAUGAUAUUCAGUUGCACCACCCAAACAGAAAUUGCUGUCUGUAUUUUUCUCACCCAGCAAAUAUUGCUUGAGGGCUUUUUACAUGGAUAAAAUUGAAUUUUACAUUCCUAUUGCAUAAUGUGACUUAUCAACUACUUUCUGUAUGUGUGAGUCUGGGGUUUGGUGAACACAAAUCAUAACCAAAGUUUGAUGAACAUCUUCUAUAAAGCUAGGAUACUAGAUCCAUAAAAAAAGAGAAGAUAAUUAGUUUUAUGUCUGGAGCUACCUUUUGGAGUGAAAUACAUCAUUUCAUAUCACAAUGGAAUGCAUCCUUACUGGCAAGAAAAAAAAAUACUAUUCCUUGCUACUUACUCUUCAUAAGAAAAAUAAAUAAA